UUGGAGAAUGUAUAGUCCUCUUAUGAGGCUAGUUAUGUUUUUGAGUAGUAAUGCAUCAUAUCUUAAGAGGUUACAAAAUUAAACAUAAUACCGACUAUGUUGGAUAAAGUUCUAGAUAGAAUACUGAUUAUGACAAUUUUCUAUCUACAUGUCUUGACCAAAUUACGUGCCAGCCGUCGCGGUAAUACGUAAAAGACUAGUGUUAUUCAUCUUUAAUAGGUUUAAAGGGUACCUAGACGGUAUUACUAGCCUACCAAGGUAAUAGUUAUGCUUGAGUUUUAUAUGAGAAGGGGAGUAUUUAAGGAGUAGAGUUGUAAUUCUUUGAUACUUUAAGGACUGGUAAAGGCGAAAGCAACCUUUUAUGUAAAAACUGACGUUGAGGGACGAAGGCUUAGAUAGCGAACAGGAUUAGAUACCCUAGUAGUCUUUGCAGAAAAUGAUGAAUGCCAUAGACUAGGUUUUAAUUUGGUCUAUAAAUGAAAGUGUAAGCAUUCCACCUCAAGAGUAAUGUGGCAACGCAGGAACUGAAAUCAUUAGACCGUUUCUGAGAACAGUAGUGAAGUAUGUUAUUUAAUUCGAUAAUCCUCGAAAAACCUUACCACAACUUGAAUGUGUCAUCGAUAGAUUAAGGUAAUAUAAACACCUUAAAAGUGAGUAGUGUAGAAGUACACUCCUCCCGCCGGUGAUGACACAAGCGUUGCACGGUUGUCUUCAGCUAAUGUCGUGAGAUUUUGGUUAGUUCCAUAAAAUUAGCGUAAACCCCGGCUUUAUUUUUAAAUUACUAUGAUAGAGCAGUUCAUCGAUACAUUGAAUACAUUGAUAA
This 823-nucleotide ribosomal RNA is filed under the name Colpoma ledi. Its description in RNAcentral is "mitochondrial SSU rRNA". It matches the Rfam family "Bacterial small subunit ribosomal RNA", at positions 1 to 1170 of the family's 1533-position model. The record is from RNAcentral. Lineage: Eukaryota; Fungi; Ascomycota; Leotiomycetes; Rhytismatales; Rhytismataceae.